Molecule: ribosomal RNA, 497 nt
Filed under: uncultured bacterium
Lineage: Bacteria
Description: partial 16S ribosomal RNA
Rfam family: Bacterial small subunit ribosomal RNA
Source: RNAcentral
GACGAACGCUGGCGGCGUGCCUAAUACAUGCCAGUUGAGCGCUGAAGGUUGGUACUUGUACCGACUGGAUGAGCAGCGAACGGGUGAGUAACGCGUGGGGAAUCUGCCUUUGAGCGGGGGACAACAUUUGGAAACGAAUGCUAACACCGCAUAAAAACUUUAAACACAAGUUUUAAGUUUGAAAGAUGCAAUUGCAUCACUCAAAGAUGAUCCCGCGUUGUAUUAGCUAGUUGGUGAGGUAAAGGCUCACCAAGGCGAUGAUACAUAGCCGACCUGAGAGGGUGAUCGGCCACAUUGGGACUGAGACACGGCCCAAACUCCUACGGGAGGCAGCAGUAGGGAAUCUUCGGCAAUGGACGAAAGUCUGACCGAGCAACGCCGCGUGAGUGAAGAAGGUUUUCGGAUCGUAAAACUCUGUUGGUAGAGAAGAACGUUGGUGAGAGUGGAAAGCUCAUCAAGUGACGGUAACUACCCAGAAAGGGACGGCUAACUACGUG